Callithrix jacchus (white-tufted-ear marmoset) is the source of this 292-nucleotide unclassified non-coding RNA. It matches the Rfam family "Metazoan signal recognition particle RNA". From Rfam's summary of the family: The signal recognition particle (SRP) is a universally conserved ribonucleoprotein. It is involved in the co-translational targeting of proteins to membranes. Lineage: Eukaryota; Metazoa; Chordata; Mammalia; Primates; Cebidae. The record is from Ensembl.
GUUGGGCAUGGCAGUACACACCUGUAGUGCCAGUUACUUGGGAGGCCAAGAGAGGAUGAUCGCACAGAGCCCAGCAGUUCUGGGAUAUGGUGUGCUAUGCUGAUUGGGUGACCACAUUAAAUUUGGCUUCAAUAUGGUGACCUCUCAGGAGCAAAGGACCACCAGGUUGUCUAAGGAGAGGUGAACCCAGGUUGGAAACAGCAGAUCAAAAUUCCCAUGCUAAUCAGUAGUGGGAUCAUGCCUGUGAAUAGGCAGGCACCCCAGCCUGUAAAACAGUAAGAUUCAUCUCUUA